GGGGGGGGGAAGAGAUUCUAUUUGUUUAUUAGUUUGGGACUUGGGGCCUUUGUGUUUGGGGUAGUAAAUUAGUAAUUCAAGCUUGUAGAUUAAAGUAUGUAAGCCUGAAAUUCCAGACUAGAUAUAAAUUUCUAUGAUUUGUCUGAUUCAACCGGUACAUCCUGUUCAGCCAAUUUCUAUGAUUUGCUCAGACGGUUCAUCCAGUUUUGACUCGUUUUUGACCAAUCUGGUUUAAGGGCUAUAUACCAGAUUGGUUAGCUGAUCGGUUCUCGGUUCAACCAAUUGAACCGGCUGGUUUGGUCUGGUUUGAUGACCUUGAUGGACUCUUUUGUAGUAUGAACUUAUUCUUGUCAAAAAUAAGGGGUGCAUGAAUUUUCUCAGUAUCAUACUGCAGUUCUCCCACCCCCGACCUCCUCCCCACACAUAUGUGAGAAUCUCUCUCUCUCUCUCUCUCUCACACACACACACACAAAAUCAAAGGAUUAAGCGUUCAUUGCCAAUGGCAUGCUGCAUAGAGCCAUUGCCAAUACUUCGCAUGCACUGCACAGCAGCAUGCCUAAUUCCAGCUGCUGGUUAGGUACUGGUACAAUAUGUGUUUUGCAUGUUUGAUGAACUUAAAUCCAUGAUAAAGACACUCAUAUGAAAGUUGAAACAUGGCUUGUCAUGGAGUAAGCAGGAUGUUGCUUUGUUCGUUUGCAUCAUUUUGUAUCAAAUUCAAGUCCUAUAUAUAUAUAUAUAUAUAUAUAUGAUGCAUUACAUGAAUUACAAGACAUUCGGAAAAAUGUGACACAUUACUUCUUGAAUUCUCAGGUGUUAUUGGAGGAUAUUGGUCUGUGUUUCAUUGAAGGCAAGAUUAAUGUGAGCCAUAUGGAGCAAGCUUAAAGUGAAUGGAAGUUGCUUUUAAUGUUUUAGGUCAUUGAUUACUACUCCAAGAAGCGUGUUGUGGCGCAGCUCCAUGCUGACAAACCCCCAAAAGAAGUUACUGCUGAGGUUCAGAAGGCUCUUUCAUGAGUGGAACCUCCUCCCUAUUGUUUGAAGUAAAUGUAGCAUUAAUAUCAGUAAAACCCACCUGGGCAUUAUUUCUCAUGUGCAGUCUGAUGCACUGUCAGCUGGAGGUUUAAUCUCCUCACUUUUUGCCCCUUUCGCCUAAUCCUUUUGCAAAUCAGCCUUUUGGCUUCAGAGUUCUUUGGAAAUGUAGACCAGAAUAAAGUUUUUCCCAUGAAACCAAGAGUUUUUGUAGUAAAACUUGUGAUGUGGCAUCGAUGCUACAUUUUAAUCAGAUCUUAUGGGUGAAAAUCUUAGGAAAUGUGAAUUUAUCUGUGGUUUUGUGGACUGUUGCUCAUGUUUAUCAUAGACUUGCAAGGUCAACGAUCUGUGAUAGGUGGCUUGUAAGAUCUAUGUAAUUUAUCUAAGAUCUUAGAUGCCUUAUGUGUUAACAUGCUUGCAUUAAUAGAGAUA
Elaeis guineensis (African oil palm) is the source of this 1458-nucleotide non-coding RNA. Lineage: Eukaryota; Viridiplantae; Streptophyta; Magnoliopsida; Arecales; Arecaceae. The record is from RefSeq and is a predicted model, not a curated record.